GACGAACGCUGGCGGCGUGCCUAAUACAUGCAAGUUGAGCGAUGAAGAUUGGUGCUUGCACCAAUUUGAAGAGCAGCGAACGGGUGAGUAACGCGUGGGGAAUCUGCCUUUGAGCGGGGGACAACAUUUGGAAACGAAUGCUAAUACCGCAUAACAACUUUAAACAUAAGUUUUCAGUUUGAAAGAUGCAAUUGCAUCACUCAAAGAUGAUCCCGCGUUGUAUUAGCUAGUUGGUGAGGUAAAGGCUCACCAAGGCGAUGAUACAUAGCCGACCUGAGAGGGUGAUCGGCCACAGUGGGACUGAGACACGGCCCAAACUCCUACGGGAGGCAGCAGUAGGGAAUCUUCGGCAAUGGACGAAAGUCUGACCGAGCAACGCCGCGUGAGUGAAGAAGGUUUUCGGAUCGUAAAACUCUGUUGGUAGAGAAGAACGUUGGUGAGAGUGGAAAGCUCAUCAAGUGACGGUAACUACCCAGAAAGGGACGGCUAACUACGUG
This 497-nucleotide ribosomal RNA is filed under the name uncultured bacterium. RNAcentral describes it as "partial 16S ribosomal RNA". It matches the Rfam family "Bacterial small subunit ribosomal RNA", at positions 28 to 507 of the family's 1533-position model. The record is from RNAcentral.